UAAUACAUGCAAGUCGUACGCUUCUUUUUCCACCGGAGCUUGCUCCACCGGAAAAAGAAGAGUGGCGAACGGGUGAGUAACACGUGGGUAACCUGCCCAUCAGAAGGGGAUAACACUUGGAAACAGGUGCUAAUACCGUAUAACAAUCGAAACCGCAUGGUUUUGAUUUGAAAGGCGCUUUCGGGUGUCGCUGAUGGAUGGACCCGCGGUGCAUUAGCUAGUUGGUGAGGUAACGGCUCACCAAGGCCACGAUGCAUAGCCGACCUGAGAGGGUGAUCGGCCACAUUGGGACUGAGACACGGCCCAAACUCCUACGGGAGGCAGCAGUAGGGAAUCUUCGGCAAUGGACGAAAGUCUGACCGAGCAACGCCGCGUGAGUGAAGAAGGUUUUCGGAUCGUAAAACUCUGUUGUUAGAGAAGAACAAGGAUGAGAGUAACUGUUCAUCCCUUGACGGUAUCUAACCAGAAAGCCACGGCUAACUACGUGCCAGCAGCCGCGGUAAUACGUAGGUGGCAAGCGUUGUCCGGAUUUAUUGGGCGUAAAGCGAGCGCAGGCGGUUUCUUAAGUCUGAUGUGAAAGCCCCCGGCUCAACCGGGGAGGGUCAUUGGAAACUGGGAGACUUGAGUGCAGAAGAGGAGAGUGGAAUUCCAUGUGUAGCGGUGAAAUGCGUAGAUAUAUGGAGGAACACCAGUGGCGAAGGCGGCUCUCUGGUCUGUAACUGACGCUGAGGCUCGAAAGCGUGGGGAGCAAACAGGAUUAGAUACCCUGGUAGUCCACGCCGUAAACGAUGAGUGCUAAGUGUUGGAGGGUUUCCGCCCUUCAGUGCUGCAGCUAACGCAUUAAGCACUCCGCCUGGGGAGUACGACCGCAAGGUUGAAACUCAAAGGAAUUGACGGGGGCCCGCACAAGCGGUGGAGCAUGUGGUUUAAUUCGAAGCAACGCGAAGAACCUUACCAGGUCUUGACAUCCUUUGACCACUCUAGAGAUAGAGCUUCCCCUUCGGGGGCAAAGUGACAGGUGGUGCAUGGUUGUCGUCAGCUCGUGUCGUGAGAUGUUGGGUUAAGUCCCGCAACGAGCGCAACCCUUAUUGUUAGUUGCCAUCAUUUAGUUGGGCACUCUAGCAAGACUGCCGGUGACAAACCGGAGGAAGGUGGGGAUGACGUCAAAUCAUCAUGCCCCUUAUGACCUGGGCUACACACGUGCUACAAUGGGAAGUACAACGAGUCGCGAAGUCGCGAGGCUAAGCUAAUCUCUUAAAGCUUCUCUCAGUUCGGAUUGUAGGCUGCAACUCGCCUACAUGAAGCCGGAAUCGCUAGUAAUCGCGGAUCAGCACGCCGCGGUGAAUACGUUCCCGGGCCUUGUACACACCGCCCGUCACACCACGAGAGUUUGUAACACCCGAAGUCGGUGAGGU
This 1415-nucleotide ribosomal RNA is filed under the name Enterococcus durans. RNAcentral describes it as "bacterial SSU rRNA". It matches the Rfam family "Bacterial small subunit ribosomal RNA". The record is from RNAcentral. Lineage: Bacteria; Bacillati; Bacillota; Bacilli; Lactobacillales; Enterococcaceae.